This 399-nucleotide ribosomal RNA is filed under the name Aeromonas hydrophila. Its description in RNAcentral is "bacterial SSU rRNA". The stretch from base 1 to 313 matches the Rfam family "Bacterial small subunit ribosomal RNA", at positions 59 to 358 of the family's 1533-position model. Lineage: Bacteria; Pseudomonadati; Pseudomonadota; Gammaproteobacteria; Aeromonadales; Aeromonadaceae. The record is from RNAcentral.
AAGUUCGGAGCGGCGAACGGGAAAGUAGCUUGCUACUUUUGCCGGCGAGCGGCGGACGGGUGAGUGAAUGCCUGGGAAAUUGUGCCCAGUCGAGGGGGAUGAACAGUUGGAAACGACUGCUAAUACCGCAUGACGCCCUACGGGGGAAAGCAGGGGACCUUCGGGCCUUGCGCGAUUGGAUAUGCCCAGGUGGGAUUAGCUAGUUGGUGAGGUAAUGGCUCACCAAGGCGACGAUCCCUAGCUGGUCUGAGAGGAUGAUCAGCCACACUGGAACUGAGACACGGUCCAGACUCCUACGGGAGGCAGCAGUGAGGGACCGCCGGCGUUCGUUCUGAUCCUAAUCUAAUUAAAACCCCAAGAUUUUCCUGGUUGCCUCCCCCCACUUCUAUCCCCGGGGUU